AUCUAAGUACCCCGAGGAAAAGAAAUCAACCGAGAUUCCCCCAGUAGCGGCGAGCGAACGGGGAACAGCCCAGAGCCUGAAUCAGCUUGUGUGUCAGUGGAACGGUCUGGAAAGGCCGGCGAUACAGGGUGACAGCCCCGUACACGAAGGCACACAGGCUGUGAGCUCGAUGAGUAGGGCGGGACACGUGAUAUCCUGUCUGAAGAUGGGGGGACCAUCCUCCAAGGCUAAAUACUCCUGACUGACCGAUAGUGAACCAGUACCGUGAGGGAAAGGCGAAAAGAACCCCGGCGAGGGGAGUGAAACAGAACCUGAAACCGUGUACGUACAAGCAGUGGGAGCCUUCGUAAGAGGGUGACUGCGUACCUUUUGUAUAAUGGGUCAGCGACUUAUAUUCUGUAGCAAGGUUAACCGUAUAGGGGAGCCGAAGGGAAACCGAGUCUUAAUUGGGCGUUAAGUUGCAGGGUAUAGACCCGAAACCCGGUGAUCUAGCCAUGGGCAGGUUGAAGGUUGGGUAACACUAACUGGAGGACCGAACCGACUAAUGUUGAAAAAUUAGCGGAUGACCUGUGGCUGGGGGUGAAAGGCCAAUCAAACCGGGAGAUAGCUGGUUCUCCCCGAAAGCUAUUUAGGUAGCGCCUCGUGAACUCAUCUCCGGGGGUAGAGCACUGUUUCGGCUAGGGGGCCAUCCCGGCUUACCAACCCGAUGCAAACUGCGAAUACCGGAGAAUGUUAUCACGGGAGACACACGGCGGGUGCUAACGUCCGUCGUGAAGAGGGAAACAACCCAGACCGCCAGCUAAGGUCCCAAAGUCAUGGUUAAGUGGGAAACGAUGUGGGAAGGCCCAGACAGCCAGGAUGUUGGCUUAGAAGCAGCCAUCAUUUAAAGAAAGCGUAAUAGCUCACUGGUCGAGUCGGCCUGCGCGGAAGAUGUAACGGGGCUAAACCAUGCA
Molecule: ribosomal RNA, 953 nt
Filed under: Cronobacter sakazakii
Lineage: Bacteria; Pseudomonadati; Pseudomonadota; Gammaproteobacteria; Enterobacterales; Enterobacteriaceae
Description: partial 23S ribosomal RNA
Rfam family: Bacterial large subunit ribosomal RNA
Source: RNAcentral